UCCUCGAAUUGCAACAUGUGAUGA
This 24-nucleotide non-coding RNA is filed under the name Arabidopsis thaliana (thale cress). Lineage: Eukaryota; Viridiplantae; Streptophyta; Magnoliopsida; Brassicales; Brassicaceae. The record is from RNAcentral.